UAAAAAUGUAAAGUUUUAAUUAAAAAAUUAAUAGUUAUGAUCUUUAAAUUUAAAAAAUUUGGCGGUAUUUUAGUCUAUUCAGAGGAACCUGUUCUGUAAUUGAUAGUCCACGAUUAGAAGUACUUAGUUUAAAAGUUUGUAUAUCGUUGUUUAAAUAAUUUUAUAAGAAUAAUAAUUAUUAGGAAAUUUAAUUUAAUAAAUAAUCAAAUCAAGGUGCAGUUUAUAAUUAAGAAGAAAUGGGUUACAAUAAAAAUUAUUUAUAUGAAUUAUAUUAUUAAAUUAAUAUAUAAAAGAGGAUUUGAUAGUAAAUAUAUAUAUAUAUAUAUAUUGAUUAUAGCUCUAUAAUAUGU
RNAcentral lists this ribosomal RNA (350 nucleotides) under Orectogyrus masculinus. RNAcentral's name for it is "partial 12S ribosomal RNA". The record is from RNAcentral. RNAcentral also lists the same sequence under 1 other name. Lineage: Eukaryota; Metazoa; Arthropoda; Insecta; Coleoptera; Gyrinidae.